Aricia agestis (brown argus) is the source of this 91-nucleotide long non-coding RNA. RefSeq lists it as uncharacterized. Lineage: Eukaryota; Metazoa; Arthropoda; Insecta; Lepidoptera; Lycaenidae. The record is from RefSeq and is a predicted model, not a curated record. The transcript is spliced from 3 exons.
UAUUAUUUGUUCCUCUUACAAACCUUACCUGGACUUCCAUAAAUAUUUCAAGACAAAAAUAAGCCAAGUCGGUUCAGUCGUUCUCCAGUUU